Molecule: non-coding RNA, 174 nt
Filed under: Desulfobulbaceae bacterium
Lineage: Bacteria; Pseudomonadati; Thermodesulfobacteriota; Desulfobulbia; Desulfobulbales; Desulfobulbaceae
Description: 6S RNA
Rfam family: 6S / SsrS RNA
About the family: E. coli 6S RNA was the first non coding RNA to be sequenced, but its function was unknown until recently. It consists of 184 nucleotides that fold into an extended hairpin structure with a large single-stranded internal bulge. The 6S RNA specifically associates with RNA polymerase holoenzyme containing the sigma70 specificity factor.
Source: RNAcentral
UUUUCCCUGCGCUGUUGGUGAUUUGCAGUGUGUGUUGAGCCAACUCUCUUAAAAAGGGUACCUCCACUGCUAGUAGAAGGAGAAUCGUACGCGAAUUUCCUGACGUUAUCAUGAGGCUGCCCACCUAAUUCAUUAGGUUUAACUGUCCUGCGGACACGGCAGUGUGGGGAAAUA